GGCUUAAUGGUCUAGUGGUAUGAUUCUUGCUUUGGGUUUCACCGAUCACAAUUGCAAGAGGUCCUUGGUAAGCAUUGACACACCACGUCAUAGCUUGGUAUCACCUGCUAACUUCAUCCAGGUUCAAUUCCGAGUUGAGCCC
Sphaerulina musiva SO2202 is the source of this 142-nucleotide non-coding RNA. Lineage: Eukaryota; Fungi; Ascomycota; Dothideomycetes; Mycosphaerellales; Mycosphaerellaceae. The record is from the annotation of a RefSeq genome assembly.